AGAACGAACGCUGGCGGCAUGCCUAAUACAUGCAAGUCGAACGAGACCUUCGGGUCUAGUGGCGCACGGGUGCGUAACGCGUGGGAAUCUACCCUUGGGUUCGGAAUAACAGUUGGAAACGACUGCUAAUACCGGAUGAUGACGAAAGUCCAAAGAUUUAUCGCCCAGGGAUGAGCCCGCGUAGGAUUAGCUAGUUGGUGAGGUAAAGGCUCACCAAGGCUACGAUCCUUAGCUGGUCUGAGAGGAUGAUCAGCCACACUGGGACUGAGACACGGCCCAGACUCCUACGGGAGGCAGCAGUAGGGAAUAUUGGACAAUGGGGGGACAACCCUGAUCCAGCAAUGCCGCGUGAGUGAUGAAGGCCUUAGGUUGUAAGCUCUUUACCCGAGAUGAUAAUGACAGUAUCGGAAGAAUAAGCUACCGGCUAACUCCGUCGCCAGCAGCCGC
RNAcentral lists this ribosomal RNA (447 nucleotides) under uncultured soil bacterium. Its description in RNAcentral is "bacterial SSU rRNA". It matches the Rfam family "Bacterial small subunit ribosomal RNA", at positions 26 to 518 of the family's 1533-position model. The record is from RNAcentral.